This 265-nucleotide ribosomal RNA is filed under the name uncultured Oscillospiraceae bacterium. RNAcentral describes it as "partial 16S ribosomal RNA". It matches the Rfam family "Bacterial small subunit ribosomal RNA", at positions 75 to 339 of the family's 1533-position model. The record is from RNAcentral. Lineage: Bacteria; Bacillati; Bacillota; Clostridia; Eubacteriales; Oscillospiraceae.
CCAAAUGAUAGGAAUGCUUAGUGGCGGACUGGUGAGUAACGCGUGAGGAACCUGCCUCUCAGAGGGGGACAACAGUUGGAAACGACUGCUAAUACCGCAUGACACAUCGGAAGGGCGUCCUUCUGAUGUCAAAGAUUUUAUCGCUGAGAGAUGGCCUCGCGUCCAAUUAGCUAGUUGGUGAGGUAACGGCCCACCAAGGCGACGAUUGGUAGCCGGACUGAGAGGUUGAACGGCCACAUUGGGACUGAGACACGGCCCAGACUCC